Alligator sinensis (Chinese alligator) is the source of this 1644-nucleotide long non-coding RNA. RefSeq lists it as uncharacterized. The record is from RefSeq and is a predicted model, not a curated record. The transcript is spliced from 3 exons. Lineage: Eukaryota; Metazoa; Chordata; Crocodylia; Alligatoridae.
CCGGUUUCCCGCUGCCGCGCCGAAGCCUGAGGGCGGCCCAGCGGGUCCCGCCCAGGCCCCCCCAGGAAGAGCUCCGCAGCACCGGUAUCCCGCCGCGUCAGGCCCCACCCGCCCCCGGCUCCUGCCAGCCGCCCUCCGCCCGCACCGCGCACCCCGGCCCGGCCGCAGGGGUAGUGCGCUCUGGGUCUGGUUCUGCCCCCGGUCCGGGCGGAGAGACCGAGACUACAAGCUCUGCCCUCCCCGCCCGCCACUGCCGUCUUCAGCACCAGGCAGGGGCCCCAGCACCAGGCAGCACACCGCAGCCUCGGGCAGGUACCCGGUCCCACAGCUGCUGGGCUGCGCAGUCCUCCAGGGCAGCAGGAACAGGACACCCGUCCGUGUUGUGUCCCCCCCCCCGGCAGGUCCUAGCUCCUCCUAGGAAGCUCUAGUGGGCAUCAGGCAUCACCACAGCAAGUGCCCCGUUCUGCAGCAAGCUGCACAAAAUCUUGUUCCGGGACAGUGCGGUACGGGCGCUUGUUUCCAGCACAGGUCCUUUCCCAGGCUUGGCGCUAAUGCCAUAACCCCCAAAACCUCUGCAGCUGAGACACACAAACCACUCAGCCAAGGAAGAGCACCUGGCCCAGACCAAAUUACCCAGAACAGGGCUAUAAACCCAACCCCCAGGUGUUGGCAUCUGGCUCCUACCACAGACUUUUGCAUCAGGUGUCUGCAGGAGGGGGUGGCCAGAAGGCAAAGGUGAGAGAAACUGCAUCAAUUCCAAACCUGCUGCCAGUCAGACCCACCACCUCCCACCCAGCUGAGGAGAACACGCAUGGUGCUGCAAUGCGGCAUGGGGGACCUUUGCAGGAUGACAGGCAAGCUCAGGCUGCAGCUUGGUCUCCUGCCUCUUAGCUGACUGGGUGGCCAUAAUUACAGGCAUUGUAACAGGACCUGCCUUUUGCAUUUCAAGAGUAAUCAUCAAGGGAACCGUAGCUGCAUGUUAUUUCUGUGCCCGCGCUCUCCUGUGAGGUUCUGAUCACAGACUGGCCGCAGUCUCCUUGGCCAAGGCCCGUCAUAGCGAGCUGUUAGUAAAAACAGGAAAUGGAGGAAUUCAGAAACCAAAACAGCAUCGUGACACUAAAGAGCCAAGCACUGUGACACUAAGGAGGUGUGGGGAAGCCUUGCUGAGCCUCACCUUUGCCAAAACACUCUCAGCAGUGCCGUGCCAGAGCCUGUCCUCAACCCAGCUGCCUGCAGGACAACACACAACUGGCUCCACCCACAGAAAAAAUAUGGACAACAGGCCAGGCUGUCCACUGGACCCUUCCCAGCAGGCACGACAUUCCCCAUUUGCCCAGGCAACAAGAAUGCAACUGUGCUCAGCUCAGCUCCGUCCUCAUCCUCAGGCUGGCAGAGUUCCACACUGCAAAGCACCAUGAGGAGUGGGAGAAAGGUGGUCAGGAAGGGAAGCCACAUGCAUAUGAGCUGGUACACAUGAGCAUGCCUGCCCUGCAGCCUGGAGAGCAGCUCCCCCCAGACAAAACCAGGAUCCCUGGUAAUCAGUACAGGAAAUGCAACUUUCCCAGAAUUCUGUCUCUAAUCUUACAAAAAAGUCCUGAUCAUAAAAGAGCUGUAGUCUUGUCUCUCAAAAGACUGAACAGUACC